GGCUACUCUCUACAGGUGGAAUCAGAGUCUAACUGUAUUCUGACUGGGUGAAUACUCUGUGAGGCUGUGGCUACUCUCUACAGGUGGAAUCAGAGUCUAACUGUAUUCUGACUGGGUGAAUACUCUGUGAGGCUGUGACUACUCUCUACAGGUGGAAUCAGAGUCUAACUGUAUUCUGACUGGGUGAAUACUCUGUGAGGCUGUGGCUACUCUCUACAGGUGGAAUCAGAGUCUAACUGUAUUCUGACUGGGUGAAUACUCUGUGAGGCUGUGGCUACUCUCUACAGGUGGAAUCAGAGUCUAACUGUAUUCUGACUGGGUGAAUACUCUGUGAGGCUGUGGCUACUCUCUACAGGUGGAAUCUUUAAUGGCGUUUUAGAAUUUGGAACCUUGUCCUGACUACUGUGUUCUGCUUGGUAGCACACAGAUGGAGCUAGCUAGUGCAAUCUCUCAGGAGUAGGUUUUUCUCUCUCUCUCUCUCUCUCUCUCUCUCUCUCUCUCUCUCUCUCACACACACACACACACACACACACACACACACACACACACACACACACAGAGAGAGAGAGACACACGCACACUGUAUUUGGAAGGUGUGAGUGAUGGAGGGAUCACGUUAAAGGACAAAGAGAGAAAAGGGGGAGUGUUUGAUGGGAAAAGAGAGAACUCUGCCAAUCAAAUCUGUUACUUUCUUCUUCCUGUAAAAUCUCCUUAUUUCUCAACUGGUCAUGAGUGUCUUCCUGAGAAAGGCCUAGUGAAGAGGUGAAGGUGUGUAGUGUGGGGUGGGUGAGGGUUUGCUCUAGCUUAUUCCUUUUGUCUGCUUGUGUUGCUGAUAUGAAGUGUUUCCAAACCAUCUAUCAAACUAAAUGUUUUAAAAGAACAUCUCAAUGAAUUUUGAAGGAAAUGCAUAUUUCCACUAGCCAUGGGACUCGAAACAUCAAUAUGAUUCCCUGCAAAUUAAGUGCAAUCAGAUCAAGAGACAAAAAAUACUUAAAUGCCAUAUGUAUUCAGCUCCAUCUUCUGAGAAUUCAUUUGGCAGACCCUCAUGGAUGAUUAUCUUGACAGAGCCAUAAAACACUUACCAGAAUGCUCUUCUGUUCUGAUUGGUUCUUAAUGAACAUUCCCUGUGUAAUGGCGUCUAACAGACUACAAGUCUUAUCUCAUCCAUCUCUUGGCAGAACGUAAUAAUAUAAUACAUUUUUCAAUAUCUGACAGAUAAGUCAUGGCUUUUUUUGGUUUAUUAGGUGCUGAAAACGUGCUGGGGGUUAGGUGUGUUUAUUAGGUGCUGAAAACGUGCUGGGGGUUAGGUGUGUUUAUUAGGUGCUGAAAACGUGCUGGGGGUUAGGUGUGUUUAUUAGGUGCUGAAAACGUGCUGGGGGUUUAGGUGUGUUUAUUAGGUGCUGAAAACGUGCUGGGGGUUAGGUGUGUUUAUUAGGUGCUGAAAACGUGCUGGGGGUUAGGUGUGUUUAUUAGGUGCUGAAAACGUGCUGGGGGUUAGGUGUGGCUAAAAGAGGAGACCCUAUAUGGCUUAUAAAUGUCUGACAUUUGUUAUAAGAAGCUAAAUACUGUUUUGAACGCUUCUAAAGGGUAUAUGGCGGGUAUAUGGUUUGUAGGGUGUGUAACAUGGGUUGUAUGAUGUGUAACAUGGGUUGUAUGGUGUGUAACAUGGGUUGUAUGGUGUGUAACAUGGGUUGUAGGGUGUGUAAC
RNAcentral lists this long non-coding RNA (1707 nucleotides) under Salmo salar (Atlantic salmon). RNAcentral describes it as "lncRNA (ENSSSAG00000111060.1)". Lineage: Eukaryota; Metazoa; Chordata; Actinopteri; Salmoniformes; Salmonidae. The record is from RNAcentral.